GGAUGUGGCUCAGUGGUAGAGCUCUUGUCUGGCAUACAUGAGAAACCCUGGGUUCAAUCUCCAAUAUCACCCA
This 73-nucleotide transfer RNA is filed under the name Marmota monax (woodchuck). RNAcentral's name for it is "tRNA.Ala". Lineage: Eukaryota; Metazoa; Chordata; Mammalia; Rodentia; Sciuridae. The record is from RNAcentral.